GUGUUUUUCCAUAAUUUUUGACUUUUGAUAUUUGCCAGUACCUUUGCAAUGGCAGCUGUGCCCUCAGCUGGCUGUCUUCUGGCCAAGAACCAGUACUACAGAACCCGACUAAAUUCUGAUGCCAGUGUUUCUUCAAGCAGUUCAUCUUGCUGUUCUGAACCCUUGACCUACUCAGACCAAGACAAACACCUCCACGGUACUGUGGCUCUAUUAAUAUUAUUAGCUAUAACUCAAAAAAAGUUGAGUGUGCUUAUGAGAGUCAUUUGUACCAGUGUUCUCAGUGGUGCAUUUAAUUUCCAUACAUUUUCAAUGAGACUUAAGCAUGCUUUGUUUUCUCUGGUACUUUCACUUCAUUAA
RNAcentral lists this long non-coding RNA (357 nucleotides) under Pogona vitticeps (central bearded dragon). RNAcentral describes it as "lncRNA (ENSPVIG00000015169.1)". Lineage: Eukaryota; Metazoa; Chordata; Lepidosauria; Squamata; Agamidae. The record is from RNAcentral.